GGGUUGUGAGGUUAAGCGACUAAGCGUACACGGUGGAUGCCCUGGCAGUCAGAGGCGAUGAAGGGCGUACUAAUCUGCGAUAAGCGCCGGUAAGGUGAUAUGAACCGUUAUAACCGGCGAUACCCGAAUGGGGAAACCCAGUGUGAUUCGUCACACUAUCAUUAACUGAAUCCAUAGGUUAAUGAGGCGAACCGGGGGAACUGAAACAUCUAAGUACCCCGAGGAAAAGAAAUCAACCGAGAUUCCCCCAGUAGCGGCGAGCGAACGGGGAGGAGCCCAGAGCCUGAAUCAGCAUGUGUGUUAGUGGAAGCGUCUGGAAAGGCGCGCGAUACAGGGUGACAGCCCCGUACACAAAAGCGCAUGUGCUGUGAGCUCGAUGAGUAGGGCGGGACACGUGGUAUCCUGUCUGAAUAUGGGGGGACCAUCCUCCAAGGCUAAAUACUCCUGACUGACCGAUAGUGAACCAGUACCGUGAGGGAAAGGCGAAAAGAACCCCGGCGAGGGGAGUGAAAAAGAACCUGAAACCGUGUACGUACAAGCAGUGGGAGCACCCUUUGGGUGUGACUGCGUACCUUUUGUAUAAUGGGUCAGCGACUUAUAUUCUGUAGCAAGGUUAACCGAAUAGGGGAGCCGGAGGGAAACCGAGUCUUAACCGGGCGUUAAGUUGCAGGGUAUAGACCCGAAACCCGGUGAUCUAGCCAUGGGCAGGUUGAAGGUUGGGUAACACUAACUGGAGGACCGAACCGACUAAUGUUGAAAAAUUAGCGGAUGACCUGUGGCUGGGGGUGAAAGGCCAAUCAAACCGGGAGAUAGCUGGUUCUCCCCGAAAGCUAUUUAGGUAGCGCCUCGUGAAUUCAUCUCCGGGGGUAGAGCACUGUUUCGGCUAGGGGGCCAUCCCGGCUUACCAACCCGAUGCAAACUGCGAAUACCGGAGAAUGUUAUCACGGGAGACACACGGCGGGUGCUAACGUCCGUCGUGAAGAGGGAAACAACCCAGACCGCCAGCUAAGGUCCCAAAGUCAUGGUUAAGUGGGAAACGAUGUGGGAAGGCCCAGACAGCCAGGAUGUUGGCUUAGAAGCAGCCAUCAUUUAAAGAAAGCGUAAUAGCUCACUGGUCGAGUCGGCCUGCGCGGAAGAUGUAACGGGGCUAAACCAUGCACCGAAGCUGCGGCAGCGACACU
RNAcentral lists this ribosomal RNA (1181 nucleotides) under Salmonella enterica subsp. enterica serovar Enteritidis. RNAcentral describes it as "partial 23S ribosomal RNA". It matches the Rfam family "Bacterial large subunit ribosomal RNA", at positions 1 to 1215 of the family's 2925-position model. Lineage: Bacteria; Pseudomonadati; Pseudomonadota; Gammaproteobacteria; Enterobacterales; Enterobacteriaceae. The record is from RNAcentral.